CAGCGCCGCGGUAAAACGAAGGGGGCUAGCGUUGUUCGGAAUUACUGGGCGUAAAGCGCACGUAGGCGGACAUUUAAGUCAGGGGUGAAAUCCCGGGGCUCAACCCCGGAACUGCCUUUGAUACUGGGUGUCUAGAGUAUGGAAGAGGUGAGUGGAAUUCCGAGUGUAGAGGUGAAAUUCGUAGAUAUUCGGAGGAACACCAGUGGCGAAGGCGGCUCACUGGUCCAUUACUGACGCUGAGGUGCGAAAGCGUGGGGAGCAAACAGGAUUAGAUACCCCCGUAGUCCCUGUCUCUUAUACA
This 301-nucleotide ribosomal RNA is filed under the name uncultured bacterium. Its description in RNAcentral is "partial 16S ribosomal RNA". It matches the Rfam family "Bacterial small subunit ribosomal RNA", at positions 509 to 808 of the family's 1533-position model. The record is from RNAcentral.